RNAcentral lists this ribosomal RNA (253 nucleotides) under uncultured bacterium. RNAcentral's name for it is "partial 16S ribosomal RNA". It matches the Rfam family "Bacterial small subunit ribosomal RNA", at positions 524 to 776 of the family's 1533-position model. The record is from RNAcentral.
UACGAAGGGGGCUAGCGUUGUUCGGAAUUACUGGGCGUAAAGCGCGCGCAGGCGGUCUUCCAAGUCAGUGGUGAAAGCCUGGAGCUCAACUCCAGAACUGCCAUUGAAACUGUUAGACUUGAGUACGAGAGAGGUGAGUGGAAUUCCCAGUGUAGAGGUGAAAUUCGUAGAUAUUGGGAAGAACACCAGUGGCGAAGGCGGCUCACUGGCCCGGUACUGACGCUGAGGUGCGAAAGCGUGGGGAGCAAACAGG